RNAcentral lists this unclassified non-coding RNA (392 nucleotides) under Hevea brasiliensis (rubber tree). Lineage: Eukaryota; Viridiplantae; Streptophyta; Magnoliopsida; Malpighiales; Euphorbiaceae. The record is from RNAcentral.
GAUUUGUCAAGAUUGGCAAGGAAAACAUUACCAAAUUUGACAAAAUUUAAAGAGCCAACUGUGAAAGAUUGAAAUUCAAGCCGAGACAACAAAUGCCUUAGAAAUUGAACUUCUUUACUGAAAAAAAUUCCAAUAUCAUUUGUUAUUUCAGGUAAUCCACUGUUUCAAACAUAUUCGCUUGUGAUCAGGUCAAGGACAAGGGAUGGAUAGAAGCGCAACACACAAAAAACAGUUGAAAAAAGCUGGAAUAAAGGUUCAAGUGCUGUGAAAAGUAAUGCGAAUAGUGCCCAUAGACCGUACACGUGAAUAGCGUGCAUAAACAGUAAUAAAACCCACCCUAAUGAAUCGAAAGCUUUGAUACCAUGCAAAAACUAAUGUAUUUGAGAGAAAUU